GAUUGAGGGGCGUUGCUUUGGCGGUGUGGUAUAUUAGGCGGGACGCCGGCACUCCCCCUUUCAUUCGCGCGUUAGGAGGCUCUGGUGUGUGUCCUGCGCCGUCUUACCGCCCGCGUCAGGGACCUUCCCGACUCCGCGGGGAAGCAUCCCGGUGUGCACAGCCACCAUGGCAUCAGACGAAGGCAAGCUGUUCGUGGGAGGGCUUAGCUUUGACACCAAUGAGCAGGCGCUGGAGCAGGUGUUCUCCAAGUAUGGGCAGAUAUCGGAAGUGGUGGUUGUCAAGGACAGGGAGACCCAGAGGUCUCGGGGCUUCGGGUUUGUCACCUUCGAGAAUAUCGAUGACGCCAAGGAUGCCAUGAUGGCCAUGAACGGAAAGUCGGUUGACGGGCGGCAGAUCCGUGUAGACCAGGCUGGCAAGUCAUCAGACAACCGGUCCCGUGGGUAUCGGGGCGGCUCCGCUGGGGGCCGAGGCUUCUUCCGUGGAGGGCGCAGCCGGGGCCGCGGCUUCUCCAGAGGGGGCGGAGACCGGGGCUAUGGUGGUGGCCGCUUCGAGUCCCGGAGCGGGGGCUACAGCGGUUCCCGGGACUAUUAUGGCAGCCGGAGUCAGGGUGGCGGCUACGGGUACCGGAGCUCCGGCGGCUCCUACCGGGACAGCUAUGACAGCUACGGUGAGUGCGGCUGCGCGGGGUGGGGCGGGGCGCGGGGCGCGGCUCACUGUGUCCUCUGUCUCCAGCCACGCACAGCGAGUGAAGCCGCAGACCAUUCUCCGUGGCCGUCACAGACAGGGAGCCGCGCCGGUGGUCCUGAGCAGCCGCCCCCCACUUUUGUAGCCCCCGAGUUGUCAGCGUCCACAGCCUGUGCCUCCAAUCGCGGCCUGGUCCCCAGAGUUUUCCUUUCACGGAAGCGCUGUCCGUUUGAGAGUUUUACAGACGUUCCGGAAAGCACUUGGAUUUUACUUUUUUACCAUGAGCCAUGGGUUUUGUUUUUUCUAAAUUGUCGGGGUUUGUGGGUUUUGCUUACUGGUUUUGUUAUUGGAGUUUUCCGGUUGCAUUGUUUUUUGUGCAGGGCGGUCUGUGGAGCUGGCCCCGUACCCCGCACUGGUGCAGGACUCAGCCAGGUGCCAGGGUCUGGGAAGGGUAUUUAUAGUGUCCUUUUUUUACGGCAGCCGUGCGUUCUCCAUCCAUGUGUGCUCGCGUGGACAGCGAUCCUUGUACCAAGUUUGUUUGGCUUCACGAAGCCGAUUAAAGACCGUGUGAAUCGAACUCUGCCGUUUCCCUUUCUCACGCCUCGCCCAGCUCACAGUGGCCAGACAGGGCAAGCGGCUUGGGCACGGGGUCCACGCCUGCUACCCUGCUCUGGCCACAGCCCCAGCGCCCCGCCACUCCGCCGCUCCUGCACAGGACUGACAGCAACUGGGCUUCCAGAACCUUCUAGAAACCAGUUAUGCUAGGACAGCCCAUGCAGGGACUGCAUCCUGACCCCACAUCUGCCCUGUGGCAUUUUUGCUCCUGUGACUUCAGACCUGCAGCUGCUGGUCCAGCAGGGCCUGGCCACCUGGGGGCCCUCGUGGUGUCCGAACCAAGGUUGAAGGAGAGAGAGCCAGACCAGCUGGAAGGAUUGCGGGGUGCUGGGGUGCUGGGGUGCCCCAGCCAGCGGGAGCCAGAGACACCUGCAUGCGUUCCCUGGGUCCCAGCAGGACCCUGAGGCUCGGACUUCUGGUCUUCAACUCCUGUGGCCUCAUCCCCACGCCAGGAGGAGCCCAGCUUCCGGUGCUGUGACUCAAUGGGCGGAGCCCCCAGCGAGCACCUGGCCCUGCAUCCUCCUUUAGCCACAGGCGUAGUGACAUAUGCCCGUCAUCCCAGCACUCAGAAGUUCAGGCUCAGCCUGGUCUACAUGGGACCCUGUCUUUGAUAAACAAAAGGCCUUACUCCUCCGAUACCCGCAGCUGCUGUGGCCGCAUUGGCCAGGGCUUUAAGGAGUCAGGAUUCUAC
Molecule: RNA transcript, 1991 nt
Organism: Nannospalax galili (Upper Galilee mountains blind mole rat)
Lineage: Eukaryota; Metazoa; Chordata; Mammalia; Rodentia; Spalacidae
Gene: Cirbp
Gene name: cold inducible RNA binding protein
Exons: 8
Source: RefSeq, a predicted model, not a curated record